RNAcentral lists this transfer-messenger RNA (410 nucleotides) under Candidatus Gastranaerophilaceae. RNAcentral's name for it is "Zag111 sp900555325 Standard tmRNA". It matches the Rfam family "transfer-messenger RNA". Rfam says of the family: Bacterial tmRNA, also known as 10Sa RNA or SsrA, is named for its dual tRNA and mRNA-like properties. The record is from RNAcentral. Lineage: Bacteria; Bacillati; Candidatus Melainabacteria; Candidatus Gastranaerophilales. RNAcentral also lists the same sequence under 1 other name.
GGGGACGUUUUGGAUUUGACAGGAUGUUUGGUGAAAAUAGGCUGCGAGUCCGUGCGCUGUUCACGGUUAUCAACGAGCAAAACAAAUUAAAUGCUAAAAAUGAUAAUGUAAUCAAAGCAGAUUUCUCUAGAGCUUAUGCUUUAGCUGCAUAAUCCUUUGAUGAAUAGCUACUUAUAAGUCCCAUCUUGCCGGAUUUAUGGGUCAAUUAUGCAAGAUGCAGUAUAGUAAUUGAUGGUAACUAUAUCAAGAUUUAACCAUCAAAGGUUUAGAGUUUCCUUUAAAUAAAACCUAGGACUGAUUUAUAGGGUUGUGAUUUUUUCCUGAAUCAGUUGAGAAAAUUAAAAUCUACACUCGUAGAGGUUUAUUUUUAUCCAUUUUGGACGUGGGUUCGACUCCCACCGUCUCCACCA